GUGGCUCAGAGGUAGAGCGCUCGCCUAGCAUGUGUGAGGCCCUGGGUUCAAUUCUCAGC
Molecule: transfer RNA, 59 nt
Filed under: Ictidomys tridecemlineatus (thirteen-lined ground squirrel)
Lineage: Eukaryota; Metazoa; Chordata; Mammalia; Rodentia; Sciuridae
Description: Spermophilus tridecemlineatus (thirteen-lined ground squirrel) tRNA
Rfam family: tRNA
About the family: Transfer RNA (tRNA) molecules are approximately 80 nucleotides in length.
Source: Rfam by way of RNAcentral